Long non-coding RNA from Dicentrarchus labrax (European seabass), 1128 nucleotides. RefSeq lists it as uncharacterized. NCBI's taxonomy places the organism in Eukaryota, Metazoa, Chordata, Actinopteri, Moronidae. The record is from RefSeq and is a predicted model, not a curated record. The transcript is spliced from 2 exons.
CUCCAAUGUCGGUAAAAAGGCGAGUAGCGGCGCGUCUUCUUACCGUGCGUCCUGGCUCGGUGCGGUGCGUCCUGGCUGAGCUGCGCCUUCGCCAGCGAUCCCGGGAAUAACCAAGAAAAACUCUCAACUACGAGAAGAAACGAGUCAAGGGGGAAGAACAGGACCAGAAGAACACUGAGCAAAAGUCUAGAAAGGACAAAGGAAGCGUCACAUAUAGAUGAAUGGAUUCACACAGUAUUGUGCCCACGUUUGAAAAAAACCAAAACAGCAAAAGUGACCUCUUGGAUGCCCCUAUGGUAGAUAAAAGUGCCCUCUGGGUGCCCUUCAAGUGGAGAAAACAUGAUGAUGUGUCCUCUAUUGGGUGCCAAUCCUUAUCCUGACCCUAACCCUCUUCAUCCAGAAGACAACUGUAAGCCUCAUUAACACUAUGUGAGACCUGGUUUCUAUCUGAAUGUAAACUAUUUCACAGUUUUCACAGCUGCCCAUCAGGCUGCACUGUAGUGGUUUGACCACAAGAUGGAGCUCUGUUCUCAGUAAAGACAUUACUGUUCUGACCAAAGGAAAAAAAACCCAACAAUUUCCUCACUCCUUUGUAAUCUGUUAGCAAGCCUUAACUCCAGAACAUGCUUCAUCAGCAGAGACAUACAAUAAUGGAGUUACACUGUGAAUCUGAGGUGCUAGCUGGGAGUUAGGUCCGUUAUUGUGAUUAUCAUUGUUGUGUGCUCACUUAUCUUCAGUACUAAUUGAACUGAAUUUUGCGUUGCAUGUAGCCCUCAGUUGUACCCUAAUCUGACAUGUCAGAAGAGGAACCAUGAUAAAAAACUGUUAACAAUAAGGCCUUUUCAUUUAUUUUUGAUUGAAUUUAUUUGAACCUUUUUGAAUAUCAAAUAAUUAAUUUAAAAAUAUGACUAAUUUAAUCUUUUUGGAAUGUGAAUGUAAUCGUUAUUUUGUCCCAUGGCAAACAAAUGUACUUAGGAUUUUUUUAUUUUCACCAAAAACAAGAACCUUGGGAGGACGUCAACAUGCAGCAACAAGACCCUGUAUCAUUUUAUGUGACUUCUUUUUUAUUUCAGAUCAUUCAGCUCUAAUGAAUUAAGUAUAGGAAAUUCUAAUAAAUAUGUUCUUUUA